UUGACAACAACAACUAGGCUGUGUUGGUUAUAUAUAAUUGACAAUUUGACCUCAAAUCAGGUAGGACUACCCGCUGAACUUAAGCAUAUCAAUAAGCGGAGGAAAAGAAACUAACAAGGAUUCCCCUAGUAACUGCGAGUGAAGCGGGAAAAGCUCAAAUUUGAAAUCUGGUAGUCUUUUUGUGGCUGCCCGAGUUGUAAUCUAGAGAAGCAUUUAUCCGCGCUGGACCGUGUACAAGUGUCUUGGAAUAGACCAUCAUAGAGGGUGAGAAUCCCGUCUUUGACCACGGACUACCAGGGCUUUUUGUGAUU
This 311-nucleotide ribosomal RNA is filed under the name Termitomyces bulborhizus. RNAcentral describes it as "eukaryotic LSU rRNA". The stretch from base 47 to 311 matches the Rfam family "Eukaryotic large subunit ribosomal RNA", at positions 1 to 253 of the family's 3401-position model. The record is from RNAcentral. Lineage: Eukaryota; Fungi; Basidiomycota; Agaricomycetes; Agaricales; Lyophyllaceae.